Molecule: long non-coding RNA, 930 nt
Organism: Dicentrarchus labrax (European seabass)
Lineage: Eukaryota; Metazoa; Chordata; Actinopteri; Moronidae
Exons: 3
Source: RefSeq, a predicted model, not a curated record
CAGGAUUUUGUCCCUUCUCUCUCUCCCUCCCCUCUCCUACAUCUCGGUCAGUGCUUUUCCGGGAGGAGGUGCGACGGAGAGGAGCAGGAGGCAGAGGGGGAGCGGCUCGGCUCUGCAGGGGUACAGGAGGCCUCGACGGAGGAGGUUCUGUACGAGUGGCACCCCCUGUUCGUCAGGCAGGCGUACUGACAGUGUCAUGCCCAUGUCCUCUUUGCUGUGAACCAGGAACACCUGCAAAUGUCAACAUGAGCGGUUACAACUUUGAGGACAUGGACAGCAGUCUCUGGGUGAAGUCCUGGGUUUCUGGCAGAAAGCCCUGAAGGCAGACUUCUCCCACGUGCUACAUACACACAAAACUAAACUAAAUCCAACAGUUGCUGGUUGCCUGGCAACCUCACUGUCACAAAAUCAGUAGUUAGACAACAUAACUUGUCCUAAAACCAAGUUGUUUUUACGGUUCUGUAGAAGGUGUUUCAGCCGUGUUCUUCAGUCUGUCUCACGUGCUUCUGACAGAGCAGAUUCACUGACCUAGCUGUUUACUUUACUCCAAUACACACAUUACUGCAACCAGAAACAUGUUUCCCCCCCUUCAAUCUAUUUUUCUCAGUUUUACUGUUUGUGUGUUGGGCUUUGAGUGCUUCCAAAAUGUCUGUGACCAACACUCAAUACCGUGCCUGAAUGCAUCUUAUGCAGACCUAGACAGAGUGCUGAAGCAGCUGUUGCUUAAGGGCUGCCCACACUAUACAGGCUGUAGACACUGUGACACUUAACCCACAGACAUGAGAUUGGUAUUGAUCUUCUCAUUUAACGCUCGGAAAUGGAAAUGGAAAGCAAAUAAUGGAUUUCCCAGAAUGUUGAACUAUUUCUUUAAAUGGACCAGUUCUGCAAAUCAACAACUGCUCAUAAACACAACAAACAGAUGUUUCAGAA